RNAcentral lists this ribosomal RNA (468 nucleotides) under uncultured bacterium. Its description in RNAcentral is "partial 16S ribosomal RNA". It matches the Rfam family "Bacterial small subunit ribosomal RNA", at positions 28 to 507 of the family's 1533-position model. The record is from RNAcentral.
GACGAACGCUGGCGGCGUGCUUAACACAUGCAAGUCGAACGGAAAGGCCCUGCUUUUGUGGGGUGCUCGAGUGGCGAACGGGUGAGUAACGCGUGAGUAACCUGCCCUUGACUUUGGGAUAACUUCAGGAAACUGGUGCUAAUACCGGAUAGGCGCUCCUGCUGCAUUGUGGGGGAUGGAAAGUUUCGGCGGUUGGGGAUGGACUCGCGGCUUAUCAGCUUGUUGGUGGGGUAGUGGCUUACCAAGGCUUUGACGGGUAGCCGGCCUGAGAGGGUGACCGGCCACAUUGGGACUGAGAUACGGCCCAGACUCCUACGGGAGGCAGCAGUGGAGAAUAUUGCACAAUGGGCGGAAGCCUGAUGCAGCGACGCCGCGUGGGGGAUGACGGCCUUCGGGUUGUAAACCGCUUUCGCCUGUGACGAAGCGUGAGUGACGGUAAUGGGUAAAGAAGCACCGGCUAACUACGUG